GAUGAACGCUGGCGGCGUGCCUAAUACAUGCAAGUCGAGCGAACGGACGAGAAGCUUGCUUCUCUGAUGUUAGCGGCGGACGGGUGAGUAACACGUGGAUAACCUACCUAUAAGACUGGGAUAACUUCGGGAAACCGGAGCUAAUACCGGAUAAUAUUUUGAACCGCAUGGUUCAAAGUUAAAGACGGUUUUGCUGUUCACUAUAGAUGGAACCGCGCCGCAUUAGCUAGUUGGUAAGGUAACGGCUUACUAAGGCAACGAUGCAUAGCCGACCUGAGAGGGUGAUCGGCCACACUGGAACUGAGACACGGUCGAGACUCCUACGGGAGGCAGCAGUAGGGAAUCUUCCGCAAUGGGCGAAAGCCUGACGGAGCAACGCCGCGUGAGUGAUGAAGGUCUUCGGAUCGUAAAACUCUGUUAUUAGGGAAGAACAUAUGUGUAAGUAACUGUGCACAUCUUGACGGUACCUAAUCAGAAAGCCACGGCUAACUACGUG
RNAcentral lists this ribosomal RNA (496 nucleotides) under uncultured bacterium. Its description in RNAcentral is "partial 16S ribosomal RNA". It matches the Rfam family "Bacterial small subunit ribosomal RNA", at positions 28 to 507 of the family's 1533-position model. The record is from RNAcentral.